This 235-nucleotide ribosomal RNA is filed under the name Escherichia coli. Its description in RNAcentral is "partial 16S ribosomal RNA". It matches the Rfam family "Bacterial small subunit ribosomal RNA", at positions 1113 to 1347 of the family's 1533-position model. Lineage: Bacteria; Pseudomonadati; Pseudomonadota; Gammaproteobacteria; Enterobacterales; Enterobacteriaceae. The record is from RNAcentral.
UGUUGCCAGCACGUCGUGGUGGGAACUCACGGGGGACCGCCGGGGUCAACUCGGAGGAAGGUGGGGAUGACGUCAGAUCAUCAUGCCCCUUACGUCCAGGGCUUCACGCAUGCUACAAUGGCCGGUACAACGGGAUGCGACACCGCGAGGUGGAGCGGAUCCCUUAAAACCGGUCUCAGUUCGGAUUGGAGUCUGCAACCCGACUCCAUGAAGGCGGAGUCGCUAGUAAUCGCGG